AUGCGACUAGUGUCGAAGCAUGCCCUCGCCGCUGACGAUCCGUCCGGUCCGCUGGUCGUUACGUCCGCGUGCAGCGUGUGGUGCCACAAAGAUCUGGCGCUGAAGCCGGCCUACCGGAAGGCCGCCGUCAAGUCCUACAAGGCGGACGUACGCGCCGUCGACUUUGUGAAAAAGGUCAUAUAUUUGUGGCUUUCAAUUUCAAGUUUCAAUGCUGAUCCAUCUCUCUCCUGCAUGCAGCCGGAGGAUGCGAGGAAGGAGAUCAACAGGUGGGUCUCUAAGGCCACGAAGAAGCUCAUCACCAACGUCUUACCACGGGGCUCAGUGCACCGCGACACUAGGCUCGUGCUCACCAAUGCCAUCUACUUCAAGGGUAUGUGGGAGAACGCCUUCAGCAAGAGCCGCACAAAAGACCACACGUUCCACCGCGGCACCGCCUCGACAGCAGCACCGUUCAGGUGCCAUUCAUGGACGGAAACAGACGCCACAAGUACCUGGUCAUUGCUUAAGCUCCCCUACAAGAAGGCGGCCAACAACGGCGCCACUUAUUCGAUGUGUGUCUUCCUCCCGACCGCGCGAGACGGGCUGCGUAGCCUUGCUGACGAGAUGGCGACCGGUGGGCCAAGCUUCCUGUUCGACCACCUGCCGACUCAGUCUAGGAGCGUGACCAAGCUCCGGCUACCCAAGUUCAAGUUGUCCUUCUUCUGCAGCAUGAAGAAAGUUCUGGAGAUGUUGGGGCUCCGGGCGGCGUUCAGCGGGGAGGCCGAUCUGUCUGACAUGGUGGACAAGGACUCGGCCGGAAACGACGUGCCGCUGCGGGUAGAGGAUGUGUUCCACAGGGCGGUUGUGGAAGUGAACGAGGAAGGCACCGAGGCGGCUGCAUUCACCGCCGUCAUGACCGUAUUAUAUUGUUGGACACCUCCGUCCGUGCCUGUUGAUUUUGUAGCAGACCAUCCUUUUGCCUUCUACAUAGUGGAGGAGGUGUCCCAUACGGUGGUCUUUGCUGGUCAUGUCCUUGACCCUUCUGAAACCGAGUGA
RNAcentral lists this ribosomal RNA (1035 nucleotides) under Triticum aestivum (bread wheat). RNAcentral's name for it is "partial small subunit ribosomal RNA". Lineage: Eukaryota; Viridiplantae; Streptophyta; Magnoliopsida; Poales; Poaceae. The record is from RNAcentral.